This 600-nucleotide long non-coding RNA is filed under the name Struthio camelus australis. Its description in RNAcentral is "lncRNA (ENSSCUG00000014448.1)". The record is from RNAcentral. Lineage: Eukaryota; Metazoa; Chordata; Aves; Struthioniformes; Struthionidae.
CUAGUGUGCCCCACAGACCAGGAAAUGCUGAGCUGUUUGAGAGCCAACACCUCAUUUUCAAGAUGUCUGGGUGCUGAAGAAACUAAGAGCUGUGGAAAACAAUGGUGCACAAUUCACUUUUGAAACCUACUUUUGAGUUCUGAAAAGAGGUUAAAUUCGUCAGUGCAAUGCAGUGCUCACAACAGUCGUGUUAAGCAUUAACAACAUUGACGGCAAGGACUUUGGCGAAAACAGCAAAUAGUUGAAGAUAGCUCCCAGAGAGCCUGCUGAUUCUACUGAGGAGAGAGAAGGACUCUUGAAAAUCUUGAUGCCGUUAUAUCAUCCCUUUGCAAGAAGAGUACACUGAAUAUACAUAGAGCAGGGACUGGCUAAGAAGAGCUGUCGUGAGAAAGGGACUGCUCUGCUAGACGCUUCCUUGAGACCAUCCCUGAAGGCUCGGACCUACGCACACUACAGCAAACCCUGCGGUUGCCUCGUAGCGUUACUUUGCCCCGCGGUCUGGCCCACGAGCUACCUCUGCGUAGUGACCGAGUGCCUCAGCAGGCUCCCUGCGCAGCCCGAGCCCGCCUUCGCUGCCAGCCAAGCCAGGCUACGAGCUGC